UGAUGUCUCUCCUGAUUGCCUGAUUGUGCCCACCUGUGUCACCCUCCCUCAUGUGUACUAAUGUCUCGUCCUCCUCUCGUCCUGUGCCGGAAUAUAUCGUCUCGUCAUGUACCGCCAGCCUUUGUCCACAGUCUUCCCCCAAGUUGAUAACAUGACCAGUGGCGGGCCGUGCGUUUCCCACCUAGGCCUUCAGUGAUGUCGGACGACAAUGAUCACCUCUCAAAAUAUCAUAAUUGAUGUCACCACGUGACCAUUGCUGGGAAAAUACUACACAGAAACAGAGUCACCACACAACUGCAUGACCAUUUCAACAAGGACAGAAUAAACAACCUCUGGAUUCAUGGAACUUCUUUGCACACAAAUAUAUUAAUUGGAAUAUUCAAUACAUUUCACAUAGAAACAUUGUGAAUAUUAUUUUCAACAGUGUGUUGAAAACAACCUUUUUUGGCUCAGAAAGGUUCCUUAUGUCUCAUUAUUCAUAUCCUUUAAUACUUGUCGGUGUGUAAUUCCAGACAUAGAUGUAAACAUUAAUGAGACAACAAUGAACAUUUUUCAACAAGU
Long non-coding RNA from Entelurus aequoreus (snake pipefish), 561 nucleotides. RefSeq lists it as uncharacterized. Lineage: Eukaryota; Metazoa; Chordata; Actinopteri; Syngnathiformes; Syngnathidae. The record is from RefSeq and is a predicted model, not a curated record. The transcript is spliced from 3 exons.